UGGAGUUCUGCAAGAUUCCACUCGGUGAAACGGGAAUCUUCAUGGAUUCAGUCUUCGGUCCGUCUCUGACUGAUUAAGCACGCAUUCAGCGCAUAUGGACAUCACCAAGUUACUAAAUCGAGCUUCUGCCAUAUCCAGAGAGAAGAGAAAAGAGCAAGCGCUUCCUGAGGUCCAUGAGAUGCUGUGGUCAUAAUUACAUCACCCCACCUCCACUGUUCCCUCCAAGCUAUACACCUACAUGGUUAUACACGUCUGAUGAUGGUCCCAUGCAGAAUAAAUUAAAAUCGAUGCCUCCCAGUCUCACUGCCACCCAACAUUCAUUUUCAACCACAAAUAAUGGUAGAUGGAGUGGCGUACUGGGGCCAAAGAAAUGGACAGAGAUGGUUUUUAAUAAGUAUUUUGAAUACAAGUGAAUAAAACAAAUUAAUCAGUGGUGAGGUAACCGUCCAAUCGUACACACCGACUAACUGCGGAACCCUGACACCAUCGCGACCCUGGUAAUGUUUUUACUCCUCUGUAUUUGCAGCACUUUAUCUGUCCUCUGGGUGGUACAACGCCAACCUGCUGUGUGAGACAGAGCGUCAUAUUAUAGGCUUUCUCCUUCCAUCUCUCUCUCCAUCGCUUCCCAGGGGUGAAUAAUGGUAACCACGGCAACCCCUUGGACAAAUAUUGAUAGGGUGAUUGAUUUUGGUGAGGAAAAUAAUAAAAACAGAAAUCAGCAGAGAGAGAGAGAGAGAGAGAGAGAGAGAUCACAAUCCUGAAUAAAGUUCACUACAGAGGCCAGAGUUGAUGUCCGAGGGGUUUCAUCUGUUCUACUGAGUGCUCGGAAGUUCGCUGACAUUUAAACCUCUGUCGGUGAUUCACACCUGUCAUAAAAGUGUUUUAUUUAUUUAUUUAUUUAUUUAUUUAUUUUUGUUGUUGUUUUUAAGGUCACACAGACAAAGUGUCUUCAAAAUUCUAGGGGACGUCUCAGUAACAUGCUGAGACAGCCUGCGCUUUUUGUUUUAUUAACUUCAAGUGAGAGAAAUAAACGAGGCUGGCAAGUGAAUUAUCCACAAAUAUAUAUAUAUUUUAAAAAAUGUAGUCAUUAAUUAAUUGCUGCCGUGUAGGAGGAAUAAAACCCCCCACUGGAUUUCCCAUUAUAGGAAAAUGGUCUCCACUUUGCAUCACAGCAACUCAUCGAUUGUUUUCCUAUAACAGCAUGUCACCGUGUAUCGUUUCUCAGAAUUGUGAAGUGUCAUGUAUACCAAACCUAGCGAGACAAUGUGUGUAUAAUGCAUUAUGAAUGCAGGAUUUACAUGAAGUAUUACUUCUAGUGCAACCCCCACGCCCGCCCCGCCCCCCGAAAUCGCUACGUGCUAAAGCAGUGAAUUAUCUUUCCUCAAAUGGCAAUUUUCUUUCAUUAAAUGUCUCCGUUUAUAAUGUAUCCACUACCAUGCUUUAAAAGUCCGCGUAAAACUUGGCAACCUAAAUGAGACGUAUGCAACAAUUAAGCACCAAUUUAAAAAUAAAUACAAUAGCAAAUGUUGUGUUAGUAGGACUUUCAGAAAUCUGUUUAAUUAUGUUGAUUAAUCGGCUAACACGUGAUUUGUCUCCCGCUUAAAUAAAUAAAUAAAUAAUAAAUAAUAUAUUCUUGAACUUGAGUACAAUUUUUCUGCAAUAAAUUUUGAUAAAUGUUUUUAAGUAUUCAUUUUUUUUUUUUUUUAGUAGUGGUC
Molecule: long non-coding RNA, 1715 nt
Organism: Ictalurus punctatus (channel catfish)
Lineage: Eukaryota; Metazoa; Chordata; Actinopteri; Siluriformes; Ictaluridae
Source: Ensembl